UACAGAGGUCCCAAGCGUUGUUCGGCUUUACUGGGCGUAAAGGGUGCGUAGGUGGCGGGGUAAGUCUGGUGUGAAAGCUUCGAGCUCAACUCGGAAAAGCAUUGGAAACUAUCCUGCUAGAGGGUCGGAGGGGAGACUGGAAUUCUCGGUGUAGCAGUGAAAUGCGUAGAUAUCGAGAGGAACACCAGUGGCGAAGGCGACUUCCUGGCCUGUUCUUGACGCUGAGGCGCGAAAGCUAGGGGAGCAAACGGG
Molecule: ribosomal RNA, 252 nt
Filed under: uncultured bacterium
Lineage: Bacteria
Description: partial 16S ribosomal RNA
Rfam family: Bacterial small subunit ribosomal RNA
Source: RNAcentral